CAAAUUUCCAAACUUUAAAUAUGUAGCUCUAGCUACAUAUUUCAGUCAAUUUGGAAGCUUUUUGAGUUGUUGGGUUUGGUUUUUGUUUUUUAAUUUUACUUUUUAGUAUGAACAAUUGCAAACAUAUAAGAAGUGGAGUUUAUAUUAUCCAGGUGUGACCAAGCUUAUUUUGUUUAUAUUCUGACUUUGCCCACUCCUCAGCCCAUUGUUUUGAGGCAAGUACCAUAUAUCAUAUUUCCCUUCACCCAUAAAUAUUUCAGUAAAUAGUUCUAAAGGGAGAAGAGGCUGAAUGCAGUAGUUCAUACCUGUAAUCUCAACACUUUGGGAGGUGGAGACAGGAUGGAGUUUGAGACUAGCCUGGGUAACAUGGCAAGACCCCAUCUCUACAGAAAAUUUUUUUAAAAAUUAGGCAUGGUGGUGCAUGCCUGUGCCUCCCAAGUAGCUAGGAUUACAGGCAUGUGCCACCACCACGCCUGGCUAAUUUUUGUAUUUUUAGUAGAGACAGGGUUUCACCAUGUUGGCCAGGCUGGUCUCGAACUCCUGACCUCAAGUGAUCCACCCGCCUCAGCCUCCCAAAGUGCUGGGACUACAGUUGUGAGCCACCGCG
Homo sapiens (human) is the source of this 607-nucleotide long non-coding RNA. Lineage: Eukaryota; Metazoa; Chordata; Mammalia; Primates; Hominidae. The record is from Ensembl.